RNAcentral lists this ribosomal RNA (390 nucleotides) under uncultured bacterium. RNAcentral's name for it is "bacterial SSU rRNA". It matches the Rfam family "Bacterial small subunit ribosomal RNA", at positions 29 to 424 of the family's 1533-position model. The record is from RNAcentral.
AUUGAACGCUGGCGGCAUGCUUUACACAUGCAAGUCGAACGGUAACAGGCCUUCGGGUGCUGACGAGUGGCGAACGGGUGAGUAAUGCAUCGGAACGUGCCCAAUCGUGGGGGAUAACGUAGCGAAAGUUACGCUAAUACCGCAUAAGCCCUGAGGGGGAAAGUGGGGGACCGCAAGGCCUCACGCGAAUGGAGCGGCCGAUGUCAGAUUAGCUAGUUGGUGGGGUAAAGGCCCACCAAGGCGACGAUCUGUAGCGGGUCUGAGAGGAUGAUCCGCCACACUGGAACUGAGACACGGUCCAGACUCCUACGGGAGGCAGCAGUGGGGAAUUUUGGACAAUGGGCGCAAGCCUGAUCCAGCCAUGCCGCGUGAGUGAAGAAGGCCUCGGUU